Cyprinus carpio carpio is the source of this 2141-nucleotide long non-coding RNA. NCBI's taxonomy places the organism in Eukaryota, Metazoa, Chordata, Actinopteri, Cypriniformes, Cyprinidae. The record is from Ensembl.
GUUUCUUGUCAGGAUAAAUCCUGAAAUUUCAAAUGCAAUUCUGAUUUCCAGGGCCCUCAUUUAUCAACAGUGCGUAGAAAAGGUUCUAUAUUUUUUCCAACGAAUAAAAUUUAGAAUGUGCCUAAGUACAAGAAAAUCCGCAUUUAUCAAACGUGCGCAUGCAGUUCUUACGCACAUGAGUAAGCAAUCAUUGUUGAUAAAUACCACAUGUGCAAGUACCAUGCUCGUUCACAUUCAUGGUCAUUAGCAUUCGGAAACGCCUCCAAUUAACCAUAUAUGGUGACAACACUUCCCUUUAAAAAUUACGUGAUUGUGUUUUUUCCUCACUGCAAUAAUGGCAAAGAGAGCAAAGAAGAGGAACUUCACAAACACAGAAUUAGAGAUACUUGUAAAUGAAGUUGAAUCCAACCAACAGAUAUUGUUUAGUUCAUUCACUGCAGAAGGAAUUACAAAUAAAAGAAAAAAUGCUGCAUGGGAGAAUGUCACCAAUGCAGUUAAUUUCGUUGGGUCUGAGGAGAGAACUGUCCCAGAAAUUAAAAAAAAAAGAUUUGAUAUUAAAGUAUUGGCUAAAAAACGUGUCACAGCACACAGACGAGAAAUGUCCGCAACUGGAGGAGGACAGACAGCAACGGAACUUUCCCCAAUGGACAUCUGCAUAGCCUGCAUCAUCGGAGACACGGCUCUGUCCGGGAUUAGUAAGGACAGUGACACUGAUGCUCUUGCGACAGAACAAACCGGGCCAUCUAACACCCAAAGUGAAGCGACACCCGUUGUGCCUGAGGAGCUUGAGGAGCCGGGCCCAUCCAUUGCCCCUUCCAUGCGCCGUGCGCCAAGAGUGCUGAGUGAGGCGGUGCUACAAAAUCAAGAGGAAACAACAAAAUCCAUUAAUGACCAAAAGGAUCAACUGAGCAACAUAACGAAUGUAUUGAUUCAAAUCAACGAGUCUCUAAAACAGAUUGCCUCUUGUGCAAAUACAAUUGCUAAUAAACCAUAAACUGCUGACUAAUGUGAUUUCAGUUAUUUGUUUCCACGAAGCUGCAAAACACAAAAUGAAAUCGCUGUAAUGUUUCUGCACUCGACCAAUGGCCAGACUUACCUAAAAUGUCUGUAUGAUCCUCUGUCUUGUCUGAAUGCCAGCGGCAUUAGGAGGUGGCAGGGGCACUGCAUUAGGCAUAGGGCCGUCUGGUCUUGGGGGUUCCUGCAGAGGGAUGCCCUGUCUGAUGGCCAAGUUGUGUAGCACACUGCAAGCCAUGAUGAUUUUGCAUGCUUUUUCUGGCUGAUACUGCAGUGUCCCUCCCGUGCUUGACAGACACAGCCAUCGUCCUUUCAGCAGGCCUAUUGCGCGCUCAACUGUGCUCCUUGAGCGCCCAUGGGCACGGUUGUACGCCUGUUCCUGCUCGGUCCUCGGGUUGGUUAGGGGGGUCAUUAGCCAUGGCUUUAGCGGGUAACCUUGAUCACCUAAUGAUGAAAUAGUUUUAAGUAAUUGUACAUAGCCCUACAAUAGCAUUUUAAACAUGUUGUAGCCUUAAAUUCCCCAAUGAGCCAGCCAUCCUCAACAGCGCCUUCUUGGAGACGCACACCCACAGAGCUAUUCUGCAGAACGAACGAGUCAUGUGUUCCUACAGGCCACCGCGCAACGACGUUUAAUAACAACAAAUUUGCAUCACAAAUUAUUUGCACGUUAACAAAAUGAAACCCUUUUCUAUUUACAUAAUUAAAUUCGUUGGUUGAUGGUGCUUUUAUGGCGAUGUGGGUGCAGUCUAUAGCUCCAAUUAUGUUUGGGAAUCUAGCAAUGGCAUGAAAGUCACGUUUUAUUGCGGCUUGUUGAGGAUUUCGAUAAGGGAACUGGAUGUAGGUUGGGGCCAAGGAAAUAAUUGCAUCCAACACUGCCGGCAUGAUCCUACUCACUGAUGGCUGGGAUAUACCACAUAUGUCUCCAACCUCACGCUGAAAUGUGCCAGUAGCUAAAAAUCCAAGGGUGGACAGGAGUUGGAUGUGCACGGUAAUGGCUUUCAUGCGAUUUGUUUCUCUCUCCAACACUGGUCCUAAAUCACGACACAAAUCCAGCAGUACAUUUUUGGGAAAGCGGUACCUACUUAGAAGCCACUCUGUGCUCUCGCCAAGCAGAUCAGCGCGAUUUG